GACGACGCUGGCGGCGUGCCUAACACAUGCAAGUCGAGCGGAGUCGAUCGACGGAAGCCUUCGGGCGGAAGAUGGUUGACUUAGCGGCGGAUGGGUGAGUAACGCGUGGGCAACCUGCCUCGAAGACCGGGAUAACAGCCCGAAAGGGCUGCUAAUACCGGAUGUGGUCAAGGAUCCGCAUGGAUUUUGAUUAAAGGGGAAACCCGUUUCGAGAUGGGCCCGCGUCCUAUCAGCUAGUUGGUGAGGUAAAAGCUCACCAAGGCGACGACGGGUAGCCGGCCUGAGAGGGUGACCGGCCACACUGGAACUGAGACACGGUCCAGACUCCUACGGGGGGCAGCAGUGGGGAAUCUUCCACAAUGGGCGCAAGCCUGAUGGAGCGACGCCGCGUGAGCGAAGAAGGCCUUCGGGUUGUAAAGCUCUGUCUGGAGGGACGAAGGAAGUGACGGUACCUCCGGAGGAAGCCACGGCUAACUACGUG
Molecule: ribosomal RNA, 481 nt
Filed under: uncultured bacterium
Lineage: Bacteria
Description: bacterial SSU rRNA
Rfam family: Bacterial small subunit ribosomal RNA
Source: RNAcentral